GUCCACGCCGUAAACGAUGAAUACUAGGUGUUGGGUCGUAAGAUUCAGUGCCGCAGCUAACGCAUUAAGUAUUCCACCUGGGAAGUACGAUCGCAAGGUUGAAACUCAAAGGAAUUGACGGGGGGCCCCUCACAAGCAGUGGAGCAUGUGGUUUAAUUCGAUGCAACGCGAAGAACCUUACCUAGGCUUGAAAUGCAGGUGACCGGGUGUGAAAGCACCCUUCCCUUCGGGGCGCCUGUACAGGUGCUGCAUGGCUGUCGU
This 261-nucleotide ribosomal RNA is filed under the name uncultured bacterium. Its description in RNAcentral is "partial 16S ribosomal RNA". It matches the Rfam family "Bacterial small subunit ribosomal RNA", at positions 793 to 1055 of the family's 1533-position model. The record is from RNAcentral.